Cryptomeria japonica (Japanese cedar) is the source of this 354-nucleotide long non-coding RNA. RefSeq lists it as uncharacterized. The transcript is spliced from 3 exons. The record is from RefSeq and is a predicted model, not a curated record. NCBI's taxonomy places the organism in Eukaryota, Viridiplantae, Streptophyta, Pinopsida, Cupressales, Cupressaceae.
UGCAAUCGUACUCUGCAUUGCAUUUUCUGUAUGAUUUAUGAGGGCUUCUUUGUUGUUCGUGUGUAGCGACAAUUUCAAGGUGUUCGAGCCGCCAUUUUCCUGGUUUUGCAGAUUCUGAAGCACAGCGGUGGAAAAUUACGGACGGCUGAACAUAUGUUUAAGAUGGUAAAGGAAUAAUGCACUAUGAAGUAUACAGCCUGCGUUAUAAUUCCAAAUAAAAAAAGUCAAGUGGCCAAAGAGGGAAUGGAAGGAGAACUUCAAGACAUUUGAGAGGUUCAAUUGUCUUAGAAAGCAACUCUCAUAGCCACUCAAAUUGGAUAAAAAAGUGUCGCGGGAGCAGAAAGGAGGUAGGGG